AAUAUUUAAAUAAAGCAAAACUUUCAACAACGGAUCUCUUGGUUCCGGCAUCGAUGAAGAACGCAGCGAAAUGCGAUAAGUAAUGUGGACCGCAGUACUCAGCGACUCAUCGAAUCUUUGAACGCACAUUGCGCCACUUGGUAUCACCAAAGGGCACACCUGUUCGAGCGUCACAU
Molecule: ribosomal RNA, 176 nt
Filed under: Peltigera sp. 'aff. neorufescens 5 JM-2018'
Lineage: Eukaryota; Fungi; Ascomycota; Lecanoromycetes; Peltigerales; Peltigeraceae
Description: 5.8S ribosomal RNA
Rfam family: 5.8S ribosomal RNA (bases 19-173)
About the family: 5.8S ribosomal RNA (5.8S rRNA) is a component of the large subunit of the eukaryotic ribosome. It is transcribed by RNA polymerase I as part of the 45S precursor that also contains 18S and 28S rRNA.
Source: RNAcentral